This is a long non-coding RNA of Oncorhynchus keta (chum salmon), 2861 nucleotides long. RefSeq lists it as uncharacterized. The record is from RefSeq and is a predicted model, not a curated record. NCBI's taxonomy places the organism in Eukaryota, Metazoa, Chordata, Actinopteri, Salmoniformes, Salmonidae. The transcript has 7 exons.
AAUACAGUGUGCCGUCCCUUUAAAUACAGUGUGCCGUCCCUUUAAAUACAGUGUGCCGUCCCUUUAAAUACAGUGUGCCGUACCUUUAAUAUGUGUUUGUUGACAGACUCACUAGAAGACGGGUUCAGAUUAUAGGUGCUUGCCUACGGAGCUGUGAGGGGAACGGCACCUCAGUACCUCCAGGCUCUGAUCAGGCCCUACACCCAAACAAGGGCACUGCGUUCAUCCACCUCUGGCCUGCUCGCCUCCCUACCACUGAGGAAGUACAGUUCCCGCUCAGCCCAGUCAAAACUGUUCGCUGCUCUGGCCCCUCAAUGGUGGAACAAACUCCCUCACGACGCCAGGACAGCGGAGUCAAUCACCACCUUCCGGAGACACCUGAAACCCCACCUCUUUAAGGAAUACCUAGGAUAGGAUAAGUAAUCCUUCUCACCCCCCCCCCCCUAAAAGAUUUAGAUGCACUAUUGUAAAGUGGCUGUUCCACUGGAUGUCAUAAGGUGAAUGCACCAAUUUGUAAGUCGCUCUGGAUAAGAGCGUCUGCUAAAUGACUUAAAUGUAAAAAUGUAAAUAGGGAUCAAUCAAAGAAGGCCAUCUUAAUGUAUGUGUAUUGGUCUCCGUUUCAGCACCAACUGGUAGAUUAAAGACACUCUGAUCUUGGAGAUGAUUUAGGCACAUUUAAAAGGUUAGGAACGUAUUGAGUUAAGAGCCUUUACGCACAAUAUAUAUUGAGGAAUAAAAAAAUACAGUGGUUUGCUUCAACCUGAAAGUUGCCAUAUUCUAGAUCAUGAAAUAUUGCAAGGUAGAAGAAAAAGAAAGUGUACAACAUGAGUUGAACAAUAGUCCUAUAAAUAUACCCUAAUCAUGGAACUGUAUGACAACGGGCCGGUCAUCAUGAACUGUGCGCCAGGCUCCAGGUUUAAACUGCUGACGUGGGGUCUGAGUGCCAUAACCAUUCAAAACAGGCUACAUGUCCCAAAUGAUCGCACAACAUUAGCCUAAUGUGAUCCACUAAUGCUAGAGACCCUCAGGAACAACUACACUGAUGUGACAGAGGAAAGAAAGGCACGUUGGAAUGGAAUGACGCAAGACGUAAGGUACAAAUUGAAGGAACCCCUAAAGUGACAGUUCAAAAUGCAUCAUGGAACGGUGGCUCCCAGAUAGAGGUGAGGAACAGAUAGAGGUGAGGAACAGAUAGAGGUGAGGAACAGAUAGAGGUGAGGAGGAACAGAUAGAGGUGAGGAGGAACAGAUAGAGGUGAGGAACAGAUAGAGGUGAGGAACAGAUAGAGGUGAGGAGGAACAGAUAGAGGUGAGGAGGAACAGAUAGAGGUGAGGAGGAACAGAUAGAGGUGAGGAGGAACAGAUAGAGGUGAGGAGGAACAGAUAGAGGUGAGGAGGAACAGAUAGAGGUGAGGAACAGAUAGAGGUGAGGAACAGAUAGAGGUGAGGAGGAACAGAUAGAGGUGAGGAACAGAUAGAGGUGAGGAGGAACAGAUAGAGGUGAGGAGGAACAGAUAGAGGUGAGGAACAGAUAGAGGUGAGGAACAGAUAGAGGUGAGGAACAGAUAGAGGUGAGGAACAGAUAGAGGUGAGGAACAGAUAGAGGUGAGGAACAGAUAGAGGUGAGGAACAGAUAGAGGUGAGGAACAGAUAGAGGUGAGGACCAGAUAGAGGUGAGGAACAGAUAGAGGUGAGGAACAGAUAGAGGUGAGGACCAGAUAGAGGUGAGGAACAGAUAGAGGUGAGGAACAGAUAGAGGUGAGGAACAGAUAGAGGUGAGGAACAGAUAGAGGUGAGGAACAGAUAGAGGUGAGGAACAGAUAGAGGUGAGGACCAGAUAGAGGUGAGGAGGAACAGAUAGAGGUGAGGAGGAACGGAUAGAGGUGAGGAACAGUGGAUAGAGGUGAGGAACAGAUAGAGGUGAGGAACAGAUAGAGGUGAGGAACAGUGGAUAGAGGUGAGGAACAGAUAGAGGUGAGGAACAGAUAGAGGUGAGGAGGAACAGAUAGAGGUGAGGAGGAACAGAUAGAGGUGAGGAACAGAUAGAGGUGAGGAGGAACGGAUAGAGGUGAGGAGGAACAGAUAGAGGUGAGGAACAGAUAGAGGUGAGGAACAGAUAGAGGUGAGGAACAGAUAGAGGUGGCUCCCGAUAUCGUGGCUAAUAUUUCACAUGCUAGAAACGGUCAAAUAAAACAGAUGUUAUCUCGGCAAAUUAUAAGGGCAUACAAUACAAAAAGGGACCACAAUACAUGUCACGUCGAUAUGACUGUCAGUUUGCUGGUAUGGUUCCGCCUUCAGGGAUCAUAAGGGGAAAUGAUCUAAAACUAUUGCCGCGUGUAUUUACAAUCUCCAAACAGAGGACUAAUUUACCUAGCUCUUAUAAAAUGUCUAAAUUACAGUUGCAUUGAGAUUCUAAAAAAAAAUAGUGAAAAAUAAAGCAGAUGCUUUUUCCACUUGGAACCGGUAGGUUCGCUGAAACCUUAUUCAUGGUUUCCUCGUGUGAAAAGAGGGUGGAAUUAUUAGGGGAUUAAGUGAAGGUCAGAAUAUGGCGUAUCUGUAGACCUACGACACACCUUCAUUUAUACGACGUCCACCCCAAACGAAUAGCGGGUGAAUAGCUAUUCUCAUACUAAAGUUCAAGGUCAGAAUAAAGAGUAGAGAGAAAGGGGCAUGAGAAAGGAAAUGACCUUCAAUUUAACGCAUCCUUCACGCGAGUCCCGAAUUCCCCAAGGGGAACAAGACAAAUAUUAGUACAAAGCAUUUAACAGGCAUGAGUUAAGAGCGAGAGAGAGAGACAAGAGGAACCAACCUUGAAACAUCUCCUGAACACAACACAAAAACAGGACAAAUGGAAGGAGAAGA